UCUAAACCAAGAGCUUUGAUCUUAGUAUCUGUAAAAAAGAGGUCAUUUGGUCUCCCCAGGAAGCACAGACAUUUAGAAGGUCCCCGUACAACUCAUGCAAGUAUUUUAUUAACAACAAUUUCUAUUCACAUGUAGCUGAGGAGGGGACAAGAGGAAAAGAGAACUGUCAGCAUCUCUGGAGAUGUGGUCCAUUUCCACACAAGACCCAGUUGAUCUUUCUGGUAAAGAAGGAGGAAUUGCAUCUUUCCUGAGACAAAGAGCCUACCUAUAUGGAGAAGCCAUCAUAGGCAGCUCUUUUGCUGUGGACAUGGGAAGAAAAAAACAGCCUGCACUACCUGAGUCAGCAGGAAGAUCUUAGCAGAGACAAGGAUUGGACACCUGCAAAUUUUUUUUGAGAUUUUAGCCAAGAAUUUCUCUGCAAAUUUCUUCUUGGGUUUUCAUUGCUGAGACUCUCAUUCUGAGGUGCUGUGUACCUGGCUUCCAGGCAAAACAAAUAAAGCGAAAGAGCUGACCAGAAGUACACCUUGAAAACAAUCUGUUCAUGAAAACUGUCCCGGACUAUUGAAUUCAGCAAGCUCUAUGAUAGUAAUGGUAAGAUUUCACAGUUUACUAAAAACAGCUGAAAACCCUUCAGUUAAGUGUUGAUAGCCAACAAAAGCUCUUUGAUGUAAACCACUGGAUUAAAACUGUUUGCCCUCACUAUUUAGUGAAUCCCAAGCACAAAUACAGGAUGGGUGGAGAAUGGAUUGAGGGCAGCCCUGAGGAGAAGGACCUGAGGAUGCUGGUCGACAAGAAGCUCAACAUGAGCCAGCAAUGUGUGCUUGCAGCCCAAAA
Oxyura jamaicensis (ruddy duck) is the source of this 834-nucleotide long non-coding RNA. RefSeq lists it as uncharacterized. The transcript is spliced from 3 exons. NCBI's taxonomy places the organism in Eukaryota, Metazoa, Chordata, Aves, Anseriformes, Anatidae. The record is from RefSeq and is a predicted model, not a curated record.